RNAcentral lists this long non-coding RNA (17246 nucleotides) under Olea europaea subsp. europaea. The record is from RNAcentral. Lineage: Eukaryota; Viridiplantae; Streptophyta; Magnoliopsida; Lamiales; Oleaceae.
CGAAGAUUCAGACGAGUUCGUUACUGGUCCAAGUUCAUAAAAUUCAGGGAGUAAUGGCGGCGAAGGCGGAGAACGACGACGAGUUCGUAACUCUCACCUGCACCAAUUUUGAUGCCUCAGAGCGGAACGAAAACUCGGACGCUGAUCAGAUCGUAAUUUCAAUGGCCGGUGUCGCUAGUUGGGACUUGCAAUUAAUUCUCAGUUACAAAGUCCUCAAAAUAAAAGCCAAUCCAAACAGGCAAAUGACCUCGUAUUCUCAAUCUUAACCUAAUUUAAUCAAACUAAACUACAUACUGAAUUGGUUUAUUGUGUGUUUCUAAUUGUCUCAUCCUUAUUUACAAAAUUCACAGGCUGAUUGAAAAAUCUUCUUAUUUUCGUGGUCUCCUACGUGGAAGCUUUAGGUAAUUGAAUUUCUAAUCAUUUAAAAAAUAUAAAAAUUCCACGUGUCUUCACAAACUUUUUGUAAAUUUUACUUUGUUUUGAACUAAUUAUAAAUUUUUUUCUGGUGUAUUUUUUCAGUGAAUCUACGAUGCAAUAUAUUUCCGUACAUUGGGAUACAGAGUCGUUUUUGAGUGUUUUAAGAUUCAUGUUUGGAUGCAAGGUGGAUAUUACGUCUGAUAAUUUUAAUCCUAUGUACGAGGUAACUUGCAUUUUAAAUUUUUUCAAUUAUUGUUGUUGUUGUUGGCUUUUUAUUUUUAUUUUUAUCUUUUUGAUGUUAAUUCAUGUAAAAAUUUUCUUUCCUGAAGUGAAAAUAGUAUGUAUUGUAUGUUAGCAUGGACCAGAGAAUGACAAUCUAUUAUUGGUAUAGGGCGAAAAGAAACAGUUUUGUAUUAUUACUGACCUAAGCUAUGUAAGUAGACAAGCAAGACAGUUCAGGUAAUCUACAGUUCAUAGAGGAAUUGCCAGUUUACUGGAUUAUGAAUUUGAAGGCUAGAAUUAAGAAUAUAUUGAUUGAUUCAGUUUCAUAAUUACAGUCAGGGCGAAGUGCACGAACACUACUGGUAGGGCAUUUGAAUUUUUUUCUUUUGAUUAAUGAAUUUGAAUGUGCACGCUGUGGCUUCAUUACUUUUGAGAAAUUAGUCUCUUCUUUCCUCUUUAUCAUUCUGUCAUUUUUUGGAUUUCUCAUGGCUUUGCUAUCUUCGUAUGAAAUUGUUCUUUGACGUCCUCUGCUGUGUAGUUGAUACUUCACGUCUCUUAACUAAUUGAUUGAUGGAUGAUGCUGUUUGUAAAAGUUAUUGAAAAGUGUGAUGUAUCCCAUCUCAAUAGCUGAAAACUGCUUUCGCAUGUACUCAGGCUGCUUUAUAUUUCGGAGUGGAAACUCUUCUCUUGAAAUGUCAUGUUUGGUUAAAUGAAGUAACAUCGCUCGAAGGACUUCGAUCACCAGAAUUCUGUUUGUAUGAUUUGGUUCACAUCUGGAAUUAUGGUUUAGAACAUGGCAAGUAUUUUUACUUGUUCUGGAGAUUUUAAAGAUCAUUAAUAAGCAGAAUAAUUAUUUGCUUUCCUUAUAUUCUUGGCAUAACAAUUAUGACUGCGUCUUAUAGAUGUAAGUGGAAUGUUUUGCAGCCAAUGAUUUUAUCCUACAAAAAUCUACAAGCUAUCUAGCAAGGAACUUUGUAAGUGCUUGGCUUUGACUCAGUUAUUUUUACUGACUAAAUUAUUCUGGAUUGAAGGAUGGCAUCUUUGUUUUAGCACGAUAAAUAGAAAUUUCUUAUAUUGCUAUGAAUGAGCUUAAUGUUGGGUAUAUUUGUACCUUGUGGAAGUUAAAUUAGUACUGCAUAGCACAUGGAAGACUGUUAAAUGGUUAAUAGUUUUUACCACCGGUAACUAUCACUCCCAUCGACAGCUGGAUCUCUAGGAAACUUUUGUAUUUGCUAGCAACUGGAGACAAGGGAAUUAAAUGGAUCCUCGACAUGAAGGCUUGAUUCUCAUCUAUGGUGCACCGACACGGACACGUGUGCCGAUACGAUACGUUUCGGAUACGUCGACUCGUAAUUUUUCAAAAAAGUACCGACACGACAUGUCGUCGACACGUUCAUUAAAUUCUAUAAAAUUCUUCAUUUAUAUAGUUUAAAUCUAGUUUUAUACUUAUUAUUGAUUUUUUUUUUUUGUUGAAAUCUUUUAAAUAUUAGUAUUUAUUUGUUAUUUAUUAAUAACUUUGAGUUAAAAAUAUAUAAUAACUACAGUAAGAAAGAAAAAUAAUUAUUGUAGAGUGUCCGAAGAGUGUCGGUAUCCACACGUGUCUAACACGUGUCGGACACAGACACGCUACCCUAGUUAGAGUGUCCUUGCUACAUAGAUUCUCAUAGUUGUGUUUCUUAAAAAUAUUGACAUGGAUAAAAAAGCACAAGAGAAAUGUAGAACUGUUUUAUCCCUGUAGGUUUAUUGGAGAUAAAAUGAAAGUAAACACAAGAAAAGAAAAUUUCUCAGAUGAAAAUCUAUAACAAACAUAACUGGAUAAUGACUUGUAUUUACACUUUAAACCCUAGUCGCAGACACUACUAGCCCCUACCGUGGAAUAUAAUAAAGUGAUGUAUUUAUCAACAUUCUAAUUCAAUCUUUCACUCAAAAUUUAUGGUAAUGAUACUAUAAAAGGAGUGUCAGUAAUGAACCUAAGAGAUGAAAAUCAUGCUGUUUCUGAAUAAAAUGUCCAGAAUCAGGAUUUUGCUGAUUAUGAAAAUGAAACAGUUACAAUAUUUUACAGUUAGCGAUACGAUUAAUGCUAAUUGCUAAAACUGUCAGAUAUUCAAUUUAAAAGAAUAUAGAAAUAACUUAUUUUAUGAUAUUUCUGAGUAGUUGUUACAAUAUAUAUGCCAUUUCUUUUCACCAUUCUGAUCAUACAUACGUGUCUUCCUCUGCAGAUGUGGGCCUCAUCCUGUAACUCUUUCAACAAUAUUCCUUAUGAGUUACUAUGUUCGGUUAUAAAGGAUCCUGAAUUGACUGUAGACAGGUUAUAAAUUUUUUAUUAUAAUCCCAGUGCAUUUUAUGUAAUGUCCACUUCCACACUAAUUACAGAUUUCUUUAAUCAGUGAGAAGCAUCUUUGUGAAGCCAUUUUAGUUUGGCUUGAUGCGAAUGUAACUCAAUCAGAGGGCUGGAGUGAUGAAGAAGUAAGUCAUGCUGAUGUAUUAAAGCAGGUAUGACCUUAUGAGUGAGAGACUCUAAUACCUGAAGUCACACAUAAGGUUUCUGUUUGCGAGUGGAGGGAGAAGUUGGGGGUUGCGUGCAGUUGGGAAGGAGAAAGAGAAGAUAUAUCUAGUUGUUAUCACCACAUAAAAGUUGUAAACAAGGAUGAAUAUAUCUAAGAUGAUUUAAUUCCGAUGAAUGGGUAUACAGGUUUCAUGUAUCCACUGUAUUCUUCUGUACAGAGCCAUUCUGUCAGAGAUCCUGAAAAUUUGCUGCCAGUUGGUCAACACAUUAUUCAUAAAACACUCAAAUUGGGGUAAGAUGACUGCUGUUAUAGUUUAUGUGGAUGACAUUGUUGUGAUAGGUAAUGAUCUAGAAGAAAUUGAGAAAUUGAAAUUGAAAGAGAGAUUGGCAAAUUUAUACGAGAAAAAAGACUUGGGAAACUUUAUUAUUUCUGGGAAUUGAAGUUGCUCAAUCAAGAGAAGAAUUGUGAUUUUGCAGAAAAACAUAUUGGAUCUCCUCAAAGAAACUCGAAUGUCGGGGUGCAGACCCUUUGACACUCCAGUCGAAGUUGGAGACAAACUUGAUGAACUGAUAGUGUCCCAGUAGAGAAGGGAAGUAUCAACAUAUAGUAGGAAAAUUAAUCUAUUUAUCACAAAUUGGACUUGACAUAGUCUAGCCUUAUGAGUCAGUUAUGCAUAAUUCGAAGGAGAUAACAUGGAAACAUUGAUGAGGGUGCUUAGAUAUUUGAAGCUAACUCCAGGUAAAGGUAUUUUAUUUAACAAAAAAGCAAGAGUAAAAGUUAUUGUACCUUUUGUGGGGGAAAUUUGCUGACCUGGAGUAAAAAUUAGCCUGUUGUUUCUAGCUCUAGUGCAAAGGCUGAAUUCCAGGCUAUGGCACACGAGGUAUGUGAAUUCCUGUGGAUAAUAAUAAUAAUAAUAUUUGAUGACCUCAAAGUGGGCUGGGAAGGUCCAAUAAGACUCUAUGAUAACAAGUCAGCUAUUAGCAACGCUCAAAACCCUGUUCAGCAUUAUCAAUCUAAACACGUUGAAAUCGAUCACCACUUAAUCAAAGAAAAGUUAUACAGUGGUGUGGUUUGUACUUCUUACACAUCUAUUAAAAGACAAUUGGUCGACCUUCUAACAAAAGGACUUACAACUCUACCUUUUCACUCAAUUGCUGCCAAGCGGGGAAUGAAGAACAUCUCAGCUUGAGGAGGGGUGUAGGGAAAUCUAGAAAAUAUCAUGCAUUAUUUGCUGCCCUGAUAUUUUUUUUAUACCUUUUUUAUUUACAGCCUGUAUUCUUGGUAGAUUGUGAUUUAUUCAUAGCUGUAGAUCCCUAAAAUAUCUCUAGGCUAGAAAUAGGAUAUUUCCCUUUUCCAUGUUUUCUUUUUGUGUAAACAACUAUAUAUAUGCCUUGUGAAGUUAAGUCUGGCAUAUGAUUGAAAUAUUAACAUUCUACAAAAUAAUAUGAAGACAAACUACCACUAAUAUUAGAAUAAGCUUUGAUUGGAUUUAGGUUUACAAAUUCUAUCAGAUUGGAAGGAAGUGAGCUAGAAUUAUAGAUUAUAGAUUCUUCAGGAGAUCUUGUUCGUAAAUAAUGAAGAAGUUAGCUCUUGAACUCUAUCUUGCAUUAGAUUAUCAAUGAAGUGAGCUAUGUCAUUGUAUUUCGUAUUUUAAAGCAGGGGGUCAACUUUGAGCCGCACUGGGGGGAGUUACUCUAAGUCGUCAUUCUUAUGAACCUUCUAAUGCCAAGGAGAACAUUACAAGAGAGCAUCAAUUAUUUGUUCUUCAAUGGUUUACAGGAGAUUAGCGUAUAUUUUCAUAUCAUUUGAAACUAAUUAUUGUUGAAAAAGUCUAGUUGCUGGUUGUGCAAACUAAACUUUUUUUUCUUACACUUUAUUUCUUUCUGAAAAUUCUCAAGAUUUUUAAAGAUAUUACUUGCAAUCUAAAUAUGUUACAUUAAAUCAGUAAUGUAAAGAUAUAUGUUACAUUCUGGUAUGGUUGGUUAUGUCUUAGCUUGAUGUUAUCAUACUUUGAAAGCUGAAGUUUCGCAAUAUUUCCUGGCCAUGAAAAGGAAAUUCUGUUUCUCCUGUUAGAACAGUCUACAUCAGAAGUAUGUGCUUUUCAGUUUCCUGAAUUUUGAAUCUUUGUGGUGGCUAUUGGAGCACAUUGAUUUCUGUCCAUAAACCAGCUAUGUAGCAUGAAAAGCAAUCAACUAGAUAAUUGAUGAGUAUCACUAGAAAUGGAUACUAUACCUAUGCCAACAUAAUGACACUGGAGUGAAGGUUGGGUUUCCUUAUUGUUUUUGUUCUCUGAAGGGUGAGAGCGGUGUUGUGUCUAUAGAUAUUUGAUAGUCAUUGCAUGGUACAGCAGUCUAAAAAUUCACUGGAGCACCAUUAAAUAAUUUGUCUUUGGUUGAAACCUUCCAAAUUUCUUUCUUUUUAACAUUUUCAUGGUUUCUUGAACAGAUACGAACAUCACUUUUACCCUUGAAGUUUGUUGCUGGUGUGUUCUCUUCCGAUAUUUAUUUAAAGCCUUUCUGUAAUAAUUUAUUGAUGUGUCCUGUCUAUAACUUUCCAUAGAAACAUUUCUAUGCUGUAGGUAAACGAAAAUCCUGUUUCUUUUCAAAGUUUGCUGAUAAAGGCCUUCGUUCCAUCCCGAGUUUGACGAGACCUCUUUCAACAAUAUCAAAGAACGUAUUCAAAGAUGCAGACUUGAGUCAUCUUAGAAUCCGGCUUACAAAAUAUACUAAGGUUUUCCUUUCCCAUUACUUUAUCCCUGUUUUCUGUAAGCAUCCUGAGUGGAAUCUUGUGUUGUUAUCCUAUUCAAUUUUUGAUUGUGUGGUUCAUUGUAUUCAGAUUUUAUAUACACUUGUUAAUUGAUGUAUAGUUAGUGGUCUAUCUUGUACUUACCUGGGGGCCCUCUGAUGGCACUCCUUAUAUGGAACAGAUAUCAUAUAUGUGGUAGUGAGAUGGGUGACAAAUAAACACGACAUUUGUGGUUUUAUGCAGCGGUUAUUAGACCAGUUGUACUUUAUGGAACUGACUGUUGUGCAACUAAAAGAUAAUUUUCACGAGUAUUAGAGUCUGUUUCCGGAUAAUUAGUUUAUUACCUUGUAUAGGCUAGCUAUCACACAAAAUCGGGAUUAAUUCCCAUUGUAUAUUUUCCUUAUAUAGCUUUGUACCAUCCUAUAAAUUAAAAGGCAAUACACAAUAGAGAGGAUUCAGCAAAAUCUGUCAAUGAGAUGAAUGAAAUACAAAUGAUGAUGUGAGAAGGAUGUGUGGCUAUAUUAGAAUAAAUAAAAAAAGAAAUAAUGGUAUGGUCCAACAAAGGAGGUAGGGCUAAUUGAAAACAAAGUAAAUAAGUAAUGGAAUAACGACUUAGAUGGUUGGGCAUGUUUAUGUUUAGUAUAAGCCUAAAUAAGUCUUCAUUUACAAAAGUAAUUCAGUUUGUGUAGAAUGUGCUAGAAGAGGGAGCCAUAGACCAAAAUUAACUCGGACUAAUAUGAAAGAUUUGAUAUCAUUGAGCCUUAGACCAAAAUUAACUUGAACUAAUAUGAAAGAUUUGAUUUUAUUAGACCUCUUAUAAGAUGCAUUGCUGGAUCAAAUAGUGACAAAAUGAUUCGCGUAUUGACACAAGGUAGUUGGAAAUAAGACCUCUUCUAGCUUCCUGAUGUCCUUUUACUCAUUUCUCUUCUGUAAGCUGCCUUUAUACAAUUCUGGGGACCUUAAUGUUGAUCUCUUCUCGUUGGUGUCUUGGAGAUACUAUGGAGUAAGCUUAUCAAGACCUGUUUUGCAACCGGCUUUAGGAAUAUGCUCAUGCAAGAUUCUUUCUCCCAAAUCAGUGGCAUUUGAAAGCCAAAGGGUUGAUAGAUUCUUGUGGAGUUUUAAAGAGUGGUGUUCAUGUCAUUUAUUUCUUGGAGAUGCUUUUUUCAGGAACGGGUGAUUGAUUUUUGACCUUUCUGAAUUAGAAUAGUUUCCUGAAAUGUUUGCUCUCAUAACAUGAUCUCCCUGUGAUAUGGUUUGGUUAGUGGAUCUUAAUCUUACUAGUCCGUGUUGUCAAUUGUGAGGAACGUAUUCACCAUGGGACAUUCAUGAAUACUUCAAUCUCCUAGUGAUAUUGUUUGAUGGCUGACUCCAAAUGCAUGCAGUGAAGUUAGGCUAGUAUUUUAGUUUCUCACAAAUUUCCUCAAGGUCCACCGUGGAAUUUGUAAUGCACAUGCUUUAUGUUUUACAGGUCAUUUUAGUCCAUGAAGCACAAGGUUAUAUAGCUUAGGUGGUUUGGUCUGCUUAAAACGGGAUUUUAGCCUUGGGAGACAUCAAUUGAACAUGAAUUCUAUCUACUUCCAGUUAUGUUUGUUGUGUUUAAUGCGCUUUUUUGGGGGGGGCGGGGGGGAGGGGUUGAAACUUGCAUUGUUUAGGACAAUGGAUGCCGCUGUAUGAAGUUUUGGAUUAAAUAGUUCGUUUCACUUUAAGAGAGCAGUUAUCUGACUCUAAUUGAAUUUCCUGAACCACUAGAAUAGUGUAGUAACAUGUUCAUAUUUCCAUUACUUGCUAGAAGUUUAUGGACAGAAUGGUGUCAGCUUAAUCAUUUUUUGGGUGUUUGCUAUUGAUUUGAAGGAAAUUUGGUUAAAGACGCUUGUUUAAGAAAGUACGUCUUUGUUGUACUCACAAAUUAGCCUGGAACUUAGCAUUCAUAAGUUACACUGAUAAUUAAAAGAGAGAAAUACUCACUGAUGCAUUUGAUGUGUGCAUUUUUCAUGUAAUGCACAAAUUGAUCACAAGUGUUAAAAAUUUAAUGUAAAUGCAUAGAGCCAGCACAUUCAAGUAGUCUUGCAGUGCUAAAUUAGAUAAAAAAUAUCCGUAUUGAUUUUCUGAAAUUUUACUUUUUGAAGCACGUGCUUCUAAACUAUUCUUCCCCAUUAAUUUGUGCAGAGAGUGGAUCUUUCCAGCUGCCCACAGUUCACACCAUCACUUGUUCUCCUGUCGAUGCUUCCUUUUUCAUGCUAUGCAGGUCACAUGCUAGAAAAGAGCAUUAAGGAAUCUUUAAUUAACCGUGUGCGUCUAAAAGAGGACGCCUUUCACGUAUCACAAGCAUUGGGGCUAAUGUUGACUUUUAUUGAAGUAGAAGAGGUGGAUAUUUCAAAUUGUCCAAUGCUACAUCUUGAGGCUGCCAUUGAGUGCUUCUGCAAGUUCCCAUCAUUAAGAAAAUUAAAGGCAGCUUACUCUUUAGACUUCAAAACAAAGAUGAUGUGUCAAUUGGUACAAAAGUGCCCACUACUCUCUGACAUUGACCUAACUGUGGAUGUUACUCCUGUUAUACCUGGACGCGUGUCAAUUGUAUCUUCCUGGCCGGCCUUGCCACAAAGAUCUACAACAUAUUUCAACCUUGAUAAUUGUUAUUCUGCUGCCUCUUUUUCAUAUAUGUCGAGGCCAUUCCUCUCAAAUAUCACGAAACUCACGUUGGAAGGCCGAACCGACAUCAGAGGUAACUCUUUUUUUGAGGGGGGGGGGGGGGGGACAGGGAGAGAGAGAGAGAGAGAGAGAGAGAGAGUGUGUGUUCCCUCCACACUGCAGUCCCACCCCAAAGAACAAUGAACCAUGAUGCAUAUUUGUAUGUAUACAUAUAGGUGUAUCCUAGUCUCCUUUGCAUCCGAUGUCAUUAUUUUCACCUUUUUGGAAAUUCUUUUGGUUGCUUAAAAAUUAAGACAUUCAAUUUCAAUACAUAAAAGAAUUGGAUCUUAAGAGAUUCUCAUGCAAAGGGUGCCAGCUAGGAUUAUUUUGCUUUGAUCAAGAGUGUGUGUACCUACUACCCACCAUUCAUUGAACAUUAACUAGGUAGAUGGUCGUAGAUGUGGCUUGCUGCAUAUUUUUAGGUUGGAAAUCAUCUGUUACCGAACUGUUGAUGUAAGGGAAGAAGUCUGUUUGCUGUUUUCUUUCAUCUAUGCACUUCAAUGUGUAGCAUGUCCUCCACAGGUGUAAAUCAACAAAAUGAAAGAGAAAAAUGCAUAGACAAUAUAACAAGGAUGCGUCUUGUAAGUUCUUUCAGAAUAUCAAACAUAGGAGAUUGCAUUGCUAAAAAGCUCGUUUUCAAAUAGCAAAGAUAACUAAUGCUACUAUGGCAAUUGUAGUUGUGGAAAAAAGAAGCAAGUGGUGUUAUGGAAAUAUGUUAAUAUACGAAAGGUCAUACAGAAUUUUAACAUGGUAAAGAUUGGGCCUUCUUUGAUUAUAUAAGCUAAAACAAUAUUUAAAAAAUGUUUUGAGGCUGCACCUGGAGUCCUGCCUAACAUGAGGCUCUCUUUAAAAGCAUCAAAGCUCAUGCCUUGACUUAGUGAGGCUUACGCCUUAAGAAAAGCACCAUGCAACUUCAUAGUUGAAAACCUUUCAGAUGGCAGGAUCAAAGCCAAUCUUACAAGCAUACCAAUGGACAUAUAAUCCCUUUGCUGCUAACUUCCAAGCUAAUUCCACUAAUUCCUUUCGUUUCGAAAAACUCCUCAUCCAACAAAAGCAAAUUUAGUUCUCAAAUUGAUUAUCAAGUGCUAAGAGAUCCACUAUAGAACAGGCUGACGGAUAAAACUUAACCAAAUAAAACUGUUCGUCGAAAGAGUAAAAUCAAUUGUUUGGACUUGAGUAAGCUACAAAAAUAAGUAACUCCAUAUUCACCAUUGUAAAAUGAUUAUCAAGUUCUUGAAGUUGCAUCUCCACAAUCUGUUGAAUGUUUCUACAGGAUAACGGUUUAAAUUUUUGGUUUGUGCUAUAUAUCGUGCCUUAGGCUUUAAAGAUAUGAUCCAUGUUGGGAAUAGGAUGCUCUAUUUCUUCUUAUUAUCUGCAAUCUUUAUUGGCAUAUUUUAAGUAAUAGCAUUUAUGUAUCUUGAUCUUUUGCUAGCAAGAGCUUUUACAACUCAUUAUUACGCCUUAUUUUUAUCAGUAUAUGGGGGCUUCUAUGCGUUUCUUUUAAUUGGCCGGCCUUGUAAAAUUGAACUAUUUUUUGUUGGUUCAACAGAUUCUGAUCUCCAUGACAUCUCAGAGUUCUGUGCUUCCUUGUGCUACCUUAACCUUAACGGGUGUACUUCAUUGACGGACAAUGGUUUAUCAGUAAUAAUUCUGAAAUGUAAAAAACUACACUCAGUUUUGGUGUGUGAUACUUCUUUUGGGAAUAAUUCAAUUCUGGCACUUUGCUAUGGGAUUUCUGUUGCGGAAUCCAAAAGAGGAAACUACUCUCACACGACGGCUUCGAAGUGUCAAACCCUGCAUAUUGGUGGCUGCAAUGGUGAGCAACAUUUCCUUUGUCCACUCUCACCCUCUUUUAUUUUCAGUAUUCCAGGAAAGUAAAGAGAAAUUCAAUUUUCAAAAGUUUUUUAUGUCAGUAUGUGUCAGAAGUUUUUCUGAUGGAAAUGUGUUUUUUUUAUAAAGUCUUUCAUAAUAUCAGAGUGAGCAUGAUUUUAUAUUUGGUUCACUUGAGUAUUUUUGAGACUUUUUCCUCAUUUGAGUAUAAUCUCAAUUGAUGUGUCUGCCAGUAUCUUUGAUGGUAUACACAAUCAAAUAUGUAUAGCUAACAGCUGGAAUACAUUAUAGUACACACGCAUCAAAUAUGUUUAACUUAAUCUUGUGAAUGUCAUAUAUACAAUUUAUUCUCAACACUAUCCACUUCUUCCCUUCUUUGGCAGGGAUAAAUGAAACAGCUUUGUCAGAGCUUCUCUCUGGAGCAAAUAAUUUGACGAGUCUGUGUUUGCGGGAGAUUCAACUUGAUGACAAUGCUCUUUAUUGUUUUUCAGGAUCCUCCUUGGAGAUGCUUGAUAUUUCUGAUACAAAGGUGCAGAGGCAGUCUAAAGGGAAAUUUUGUUUGUUUCUAGAAAGGAUUCCUCUAAAACCAUUCACUUUUUAUCAUGGAAUUCAUAUAAAUCACUUUACCUAAGAUCUCUUAUGAAUGCGGCAACUGGAAACUUGAACUGAACAUUGCAUAUAGAGUUUGAACUUCUGUUUUCACAACCUGCUUUCACCCGUCAAACCUAAGUCUGAAUAUCUGAAAAUCUUUAAAGCUUUUUGGGCUAGGCUAACUGAAAAACUGGGCUGCUAGAUCUUGUUUUUUGGAAGUUGACAGUUAACCUUUCAAAAGAUAUGUAUAUUUGUCAGAUACAUAAUUUUUCUGCAUGAGUUGCAAGAACUUCACGGUGGUUCAUUAGUUUCAUAUCAAUACCCAUCUGGAAUUGCAUGCAUCUGUCAAUUUCUUGAUGCCAUCUCUUUUAAGAGAGUACCCGUGUGUAAAUUGAGUCCUGAACUCGAGACUCGAAGCUUCGUGGGUUAGACUAUUUUUAUUUCCCACUUGCACGGUCUUGCAAGGAUAAGUUACGAAGGUUGUGCACUUGGCUUAAUCCCCAUGUUCAGGAAUUAGUUAUUAGCAAUGCAUGACAGACCUCUAUUAUACUUCGAUUGGGAUGUGAUAGCACGACGGAUGCAUAUGCUUGGUGGUGUCUUGCUCUAUUUCUUCAUCAAGUUUAAAAGAAAGAAUAUUUGUCUUUACUGUUUACUUUUGUCUUGUUAGAACCAAUCUUGAGUUGUACUGAAUAAAUAAAAUGUAUCAAGCUAACCCAUAAAUAAUGUGCUUGUGAUAUUUCAGGUUUCUGCUGCUGCUUUGGCUCAUGUGAUUUAUAGAAAUCCCGAUCUAAAAUGUUUGAAAGCAAGAGGCUGUAGGCAUUUGCUAGUAAAGGAAAGUAAGACGGAAGAGAGAAACUUGCCUGCUUUAUUGCGUACUCCAAAAGAGUGGUACUCUGAGCUUGGCAAGUCCUGCAAAUUGGACGAGAUUCAACUUGGAUGGGGUUUUUCAUCUCUUUAUAUGGAAGCACUUAAACCGGCAUUUAGAACAUUAAGAACGGUAGUUGUUGGUUUAGGUGGAUCCUUGGGCCAAGAUGGGCUGAAGCAGUUAUCAGAUAUCUGUCCUUUGAUUGAGACCAUGGUUCUAUAUUUUCAGGUAAUGAUUGUUUAGGAGAUAUAAUUAAUGUCAUCCGUAGCAAAUUAUCCGAUCAUCAUAAUUGAUGAGUGUUGAUUGCAAGCUUUGCAUAAAAUGUUCAAGAUUUAGGUUGUAUAUUUUCUCUUGACCAGCAAGAGUGAGACAACAGUGGAACUAAAACGGUAUAAGAAUAGAAAUAUUAUACUCAUAGGAACUAGGUCUUGGCAUUUUCUAGUUUGCUCAUUGGUACUCUCUCUCUCUCUCUCAUAAUUCUUUUAUCUCCCAGCAGCAAAAGGCAACUAUCAUUGAACAUCACUUAUCAGUUAAAACCUCUCACGUGAACCAUAUGUUUCUGAUGAAGUUGGAAGCUUUGGUGAUCUCCUGAUCACUAGAGUACAAUUUAUGGAGCUUUUUCGGUGAUCGUUUUUAGUUAUAUGAUAUACUAACUGAUGCUUGAAGCCAUGCACUAAUACAUUGUCUGAUGUUAACAGGUGAUAACUGAUUCUACUAUAAUGCAUGUUAUGAAAACCUUGUUGCAGUUGCAAGUCUUGGCUCUAUCCUAUUGCAUUGGUGAGAUUUCAUCAUUAAGCUUUAAGUUCUUGAUGCCGAAUCUGAAGAACCUGAAACUUGAAAGAGUAACACCAUGGAUGUCAAAUGAAGAUUUGGUUAAUCUGACACAGAAUUGCCCCAAGUUAGUCAAGCUUUCAUUGACAGGGUGCACAAUGCUUAAUUCAGGCGAGUAAUUUCUACCUGAUAACCAGUCUGUAGAAAUUUCAAUGACACUAAAUGCAAUUUUCAUGCAGUGUGACUCUAAUAAGAAUUCUUAUGCUCUGAGUUUCAUAAGCUGCUGUAUAAUCGAGAAUUAAUACUCGUAUAUCAUUUUUUAUUAUAUACAUGCAUCCUUUUGUCUGGGGAUGACUGAGUGAAGUGAUUUGAAUACUGGCUAAAAUAAUAAUAAAAACUUUUCCUUUCCCUUGUUAUGUUCUUUUCAGAAUCCCAAGAUAUUAUUUCAAGUGGUUGGCCAGGGUUGAUAUCCAUUCAUCUUGAGGUUUGCUGUCACCAUUUUCUCUUGGGAUGCCUUUUUAUUAUUUUUUUAAAAAGAUAUGUAGAUCUUACAUUUGCUACCAACUUUGCAAGAGGAGGAUAAAGACUGAAAUACUAUUAUCUGAUAGUAAAUUUGCUAUUACUUUUUUUGUUUUUGCAUACACCUAAGCAGAUGACCUAAACAAUAUUAACAGUUUUGUGUAACCCAAUUCCUGACUAAGGGCAGAUUUUCGACCCCUUUUUUUUUUUCCCUUAUUUUUGCAACCUCUUGCUACAUCUCUAAAAUUUUCUUCUAUACCUGUGAUUCACCCAAUUUUAUUGAGUGUAGAGGAUGGACAAAGUAGCAAUUAAAAAUUAAAACUUGUCUAAACUUGAGGGGCAUGUUGAAGACAACAUUAAAUGAUAUAAAUUGUGUCCUUAUCUAAUAGCUUAAGCAUUUAGAUCAAGCCGUUUAACAUGGUGUCACAUCAAGCAAAGGUCAGUCAAGUCUCGGCUCUGUCCAUUUAAAUGAAUUGUCCACAUGUUAAGUUUUGAUGGACGUGUUGUCGAUGGUAUUUGAAUGAUAUAAAUAUGCCCUAUCUAACAAUUUAAGCUAUUAGAUCAAGUGGUUCAACAAUAAUGAUUGCUGCUGUUAUUUUCCAAUUAGAUUCACCACCUUUCAUAAAGAGAAGUUUUCUAACCUCUUUCAAAAUUCCAAAAUGUGAAAGAAGAACUGUUUUAUAAGUUCAAAAUCAACAAAGAAUUUAAAGUUUUCUGAACAUGCAUGUGAGGGUCUUCAAUUACAAGAGAAGUUCACAGGGAGAGGUGGUCCAUAAUUUGAUCAAGAACGAACCAUUUUUGAUAUGUGCCAGUCCUCUUGCUAGUGAGCACUCAUGUACCAUUAAAGAUUAAGAAGCAAAAUGGAUCAAAGGAAAGAGGAGGUAACAAAGUUAAAAUCAUGAAGUUGGUAAGAAGCAAAAGGGAAGAAAUUACUGCCUGAAGUUGGCCUUGGGCCUUCUUUGAAUCUGAAUUAUAUAAUUCUUUUUUCAUUUAGGGAAUAGAAUCCUUCCUUGAAAGUCAUUUUGAGUUCCCCCAAAGGAUUUCUCCAGUUGUCAAUUACUAUAACUUGCACAAACAGCAAACAGGCAUUCUCUUUGUUGGCCACUAUAUACAUCUACAGGGUACUUUAUCCCCUGAAGUUGGCAUUUGGUAUGCAAGAGCAUAUGCACAGUAUAGGAAUGGACUUGUGAAAUGAAUGAAGAUGGGAAUGAAAUGCAAUAGACAUGGGAUAUCUCAUGUUUGGUUUGUCUAGGAAUAAGAACAGCAAUGGGAUCAGGUUCCACAUUUUUGAUUUCUUAUAUUUGGUCUGUUAUGAAGCAUGGUAAUGAAAUACAGAUUGUGAAAUGGCUAUGCAUACCUUACUGAAAUUUUAUAUUUUAAGCAUUAAUUCAUGUAAUUGGGAAAAUAAUGUCACAUGUCAGAAUUUGAAAACACGUUGCAUUCCAGAUUAUCUAGAUGCUUACGCUGGAUGGAAUGCCAUGAGCCUACUCGAUAUCUUCCUUGCCUGCUUCACUAGAGGGGGAAAAAAUAGGGAGAGGAAGAUAAAUAUUUUUGAAUCUUUCUUCUGUCAAUGGUUGAACCUUCUUGCCCAUGCUUCUACAAGAAGAAGAAGAGAAGCCUAAUCAGACACUAAACUACAGUUACCUUACUGAAGACUCAAAAGAAAAAAUUGAAGAUUAGAUUUUUGAGACAUCUGAAGAUCAAAUUUGCAGAUUCAAUGCUUAAUUCCAUGGUUCUUGAGUUCAUGCUCUCUCAUAUUUUAAUAAUAUCUUCUUGGUGGUUAUUUUACAUGUUCUUUCUAUUGAGAAUGUUUAUACGAGUGUAGUUCAUCUUCUAAGUUGCUUUCUCACUAUCAUAAAUUCAAUGUCUUUUAUGGAAUUUACACCAACAUUAAGGAGGAGGAGCCAAAUCGAUAGAAAUUAAAACCUGAAAUUGGGAAGAGAUGCAAAAGUUUGGCGGUGUUGAAAUUUGUUAAAAAACGGGGGUUCCAUUUUUGUGAAAGAGACCAUAAUUAUAAACCCCACCAAAAUGAGAGCAGUAUCUACGAUAUAGGAUGAAGUGAAUAUAAAUAUUAUUUCAUUCAUUUGAUUGAUGUAUUUCAUCAUCAGUUCUUAUCCUUUUCGGUAUCUUUGUAACAGCGCAUGUUAUUUGUUGUUUAGGACUGUGGAGAAGUAACAACCAAUGACGUUGUAUCUCUUCUGGACUGUCAUGCCCUUGAAGAUCUUAUGCUACGUCACACUGUGAGUCUUCAACACUGGUUUUUUCUCAUGUGGUGUGGCUUGUUUUAACUUUUGGAGGCUAGAUAAUUAACUUAAUUCUAAUUAGGGGUGGUUGCAAUCUGAUCCUAUUAUCCUUCAUUAUAGUUACCAACUGGUUCUCUGCAAAAGAUGAUGAAUUUGAACUUUCCCGUUUUUGCCUCCUUCGGUUUCUUUUUCUUUUUCCUUCAAACAAAAUGAAUAAUUGGACAGCAAAUGUACGACCCGAAGAAAUUACAAGACAAAAUACUUCAUGUUUCCUGUUUCCUGUCCUCCUAGUAUUAUGUGGCAUAUAUUAGGGAUGAACUUUUUGGUUGGUAUAACCUGAGAUCUCAAUCUAGGUAGCAUUCCUUUGACAAGGUACAUAAUGUUUGGAUUUAUAUAUUAGGCAAUCUUUAGUAUCGCAUAAUAGAUGAUAUAUAAGCACAAGAUUGUGAUGAAGACUACCAAUUGCUUGGACUUCGAUUCAGAGUAUGACAGAGAUAAUACAAAAUAUCCCUUUCUUUUCCUCUUCAACCCCUUAACUCCAACCCUAUCACACCCACAACACAGACAUCAAACUGCAAGGUAUAUACAUUAUACUAGUCCUAAUAAUAUAUCGGCACCUAAAAACACUGAACUGUUUUCAAUUUUGUGAAGUUCCAUUCAAUUAUUAUGAUCUCACUAGACAUUUCAUCAAACACUAAUUUCGAAUUCUUGGUCUACCUACAAAAUUCGAAGCUUUAUUUUUGUGAACUAGCAACUUGCUGAUUCUGGAGUGAAUUGUGCUUUAAAUAUUUAGGGCCCUGGAAUUACGAGAAAUUUCAUCAUUUAUGCUGCUUACAAGGUAAUUAUGGCUGCUCACAUGGAAUUACCGUAUUUGGACAUUGUUUUUUCUCAAAUUGUUUGAAGUUCCCCGUUUUAUUGUGUAUUUUUGGUGCCUGCAGUUACCAAUGCUUCGAAAAAUAUCACUUGAUAGAUGUGAUGCAAGGGAUGGAGACUUUGACAUUCCAAAUGUAAGAAAUCUUCUUGGCAUAUUAUAAUUUCACCCAUUACCAUUAUGUAGAUGCAAAGUGUUUGACAAACCUGUGAAACUUCACGUGAAAGGCGUUAUCAUUUCAUGGUGCAGUCAUUAUGUAUUUCAUUAUUUCCUUAAUAUAAUCCGGGGGUUUUUGAAGCUUAUAUUCUUGUAUCUUGUGGUUUGGGUAGAAUUGGAUUAGGAUAAAAAGUGAUUAGUUCUACGGUUAAUUAGGCUUUUUAGUAUUGCUAGUCUACAGAAGAAAUAUUAAUCCAUGUUGGACAACUAGAAUUGUUUUCAUUAAGCAACAAAAAUAACAUCACUAAUUGCAUUAACGUGUAAACUUCUUGUUUAUCCAGGUAUUUAUAGUGAAUGUUAUCUUACUGAUAUUACGGACCUGCUCCAGUGUGAUGACAGGUACUUCUUAAGUAGUGUGAAGAUUGCUAGAUGUAAGCUUCGACCCUGCACCUUUGACCUUCAUAAUCCGGAGGGCCGGAGAACCCCCGUGCAUAAAGAAACUUUAAUAUUGGAGUGGAACAGUGAAAAGCUCACAAGAAUUGUGGUGAAGGAAAGACUUUAAUUUCCACGCUUGAAAUCAGAUAUAACAUCUAUGGAAACACUGUGAAGCAUAUGGAAUGCACAAUGUGUUACUGUACAUUAUUUCGACUCCUGCACUCUAAAAGCAUGUUGGAUAUCACUUGGUCUGUAAUAGAUAAUGUUAAUUUAGGUCUUAUAGUAACAUGAAACUAUGUCAUGUUCAGUAAAUUUGAAAAAAAGAGUUAAAAAUUGUUUGUUUUUGAAUAACAUUAUGAUUUUUUUUACAAGGUGCUUUUACUUUGGUG